Molecule: microRNA precursor, 136 nt
Filed under: Picea abies (Norway spruce)
Lineage: Eukaryota; Viridiplantae; Streptophyta; Pinopsida; Pinales; Pinaceae
Description: miR396r stem-loop (pab-MIR396r)
Gene: pab-MIR396r
Source: miRBase by way of RNAcentral
GCGGAGAAUCCUGUCAUAUUUUUCCACGGCUUUCUUGAACUUCACGAUCGGUGGUGAUUGCGGCGGCCGAUCGCAUUGAUGACAGAUCCGAAUAACAAGAUCAAGAAUGCCGUGGGAAGAUAUAGUGGGAUUCCGU